RNAcentral lists this ribosomal RNA (497 nucleotides) under uncultured bacterium. Its description in RNAcentral is "partial 16S ribosomal RNA". It matches the Rfam family "Bacterial small subunit ribosomal RNA", at positions 28 to 507 of the family's 1533-position model. The record is from RNAcentral.
GAUGAACGCUGGCGGCGUGCCUAAUACAUGCAAGUCGAGCGAACAGACGAGGAGAUUGCUCCUCUGACGUUAGCGGCGGACGGGUGAGUAACACGUGGAUAACAUACCUAUAUGACUGGGAUAACUUCGGGAAAAAGGAGAUAAUACCGGAUAAUAUAUUGAACCGCAUGGUUCAAUAGUGAAAGACGGUUUUGCUGUCACUUAUAGAUGGAUCCGCGCCGCAUUAGCUAGUUGGUAAGGUAACGGCCUACCAAGGCAACGAUGCGUAGCCGACCUGAGAGGGUGAUCGGCCACACUGGAACUGAGACACGGUCCAGACUCCUACGGGAGGCAGCAGUAGGGAAUCUUCCGCAAUGGGCGAAAGCCUGACGGAGCAACGCCGCGUGAGUGAUGAGGGUCUUCGGAUCGUAAAACUCUGUUAUUAGGGAAGAACAAAUGUGUAAGUAACUAUGCACGUCUUGACGGUACCUAAUCAGAAAGCCACGGCUAACUACGUG